Small nuclear RNA from Otolemur garnettii (small-eared galago), 72 nucleotides. Its record names the gene U7. It matches the Rfam family "U7 small nuclear RNA". Rfam says of the family: Animal histone pre-mRNAs are spliced by a different mechanism than nuclear pre-mRNAs and self-splicing introns. This processing involves the U7 snRNP, which contains only one RNA species: U7. NCBI's taxonomy places the organism in Eukaryota, Metazoa, Chordata, Mammalia, Primates, Galagidae. The record is from Ensembl.
UAGUGUUAGCUCUUUUACAAUUUGUCUAGCAGAGCUAAGUGUGAUGGUAUACACCUAUAAUCCCAGCUCCCC